CAGCAGCCACGGGAAUACGGAGGGAGCUAGCGUUGUUCGGAAUUACUGGGCGUAAAGCGCACGUAGGCGGCUUUGUAAGUCAGAGGUGAAAGCCUGGAGCUCAACUCCAGAACUGCCUUUGAGACUGCAUCGCUUGAAUCCAGGAGAGGUGAGUGGAAUUCCGAGUGUAGAGGUGAAAUUCGUAGAUAUUCGGAAGAACACCAGUGGCGAAGGCGGCUCACUGGACUGGUAUUGACGCUGAGGUGCGAAAGCGUGGGGAGCAAACAGGAUUAGAGACCCCUGUAGUCCCUGUCUCUUAUAC
RNAcentral lists this ribosomal RNA (301 nucleotides) under uncultured bacterium. Its description in RNAcentral is "partial 16S ribosomal RNA". It matches the Rfam family "Bacterial small subunit ribosomal RNA", at positions 509 to 807 of the family's 1533-position model. The record is from RNAcentral.